GGUGGAUAUCUAGUGGAAACCUCUCCAUGUAGUUGGAAGAAAGAGUGUGGAGAUGGAUGCCUGAGAAAGUAGAUGUAGAAAUAGUCCAUGAAACUUCAGAGAAAGCCUGACUCCUGUGAAUGCAUAUAUAUUUUUUUUUUUUCUUCAUGGAAUGAGACAGCAAGAGAGAGCUUUUAUCCCUGAGUUGCUGUAUUGCUGUAAUACUUUGGAGGAUCUUCCUGGCUGGAAUACAGCCCAGCUGCAGUGUGUUUGUUGCUGUGUACACACAUACUGAAAUUUACAUAAAUUCUCAUCUCUUGGUUUUUCACGAGUACAGUUUUCAGCGCAAGGUAUACUUCUCUUUCUGGUCCAAGCCCAGGAAAUUCAGGUAUUUAUUGGAUCUGUACAUUAUAUUUUCUCACUUAAAUACUUGUAGAGAAGCCUAGAAAUUGACUCAGUCUGUUUCUACUAAAUUAUUUCAACAGCAGUACAAAGGGCUGUUGAAAUACAAACCCCAGGUUCAGCAGGCUGAAUUCUCUACUUAGUAGUCAACCCAGAGCCAUUAUUUUUUUGAUGGUUUCACUUAUGGCUGCACAAAUCUUACUAGUUUUCAGCAGUGUUCUUUCAGAAACUACAACCAAGUCUACACCUUAAACUUGAAACUUUCUAAUUGGAAAUAAUGUCUAUGUAAGGAAACACCAAAACAAAUUAUAAACCAAACCUGGCUUCACUCAAGGUCUUUUCCCUGGGAAUGUAAUAGAUCUUGCACAAUUAUGCAAAAUUCUCCUAUUUCCAUACACAGUUAUUUUAGCUUCUCUCUGUCAAGGAAAGCUUAAUUCUUUAUACCCUCAAAUCAUACCAGGGUAGAAAACAGACUGCUGUAUUCACAUUUCUAGCUUUCCAAUAUAGUUUUCAGUUUCUUUUAUAAUCUGAGAUGGUAUGUGUCUAGACUCUUUCACCUCUUGUUGUCCUCAGCCUGGUUGCUCUGUGAAUUUGGUUGAAUAU
Molecule: long non-coding RNA, 984 nt
Filed under: Zonotrichia albicollis (white-throated sparrow)
Lineage: Eukaryota; Metazoa; Chordata; Aves; Passeriformes; Passerellidae
Description: lncRNA (ENSZALG00000012948.1)
Source: RNAcentral